RNAcentral lists this ribosomal RNA (797 nucleotides) under Advenella kashmirensis. Its description in RNAcentral is "bacterial SSU rRNA". It matches the Rfam family "Bacterial small subunit ribosomal RNA", at positions 1 to 772 of the family's 1533-position model. Lineage: Bacteria; Pseudomonadati; Pseudomonadota; Betaproteobacteria; Burkholderiales; Alcaligenaceae. The record is from RNAcentral.
CCUUUGGGGGGGGCCCUCUAUAUAUGUUUUGGUUCUUCCCCGUAGAUUGAACGCUAGCGGGGAUGCCUUACACAUGCAAGUCGAACGGCAGCGGGAAAGUAGCUUGCUACUUUUGCCGGCGAGUGGCGAACGGGUGAGUAAUGUAUCGGAACGUGCCCAGUAGCGGGGGAUAACUACGCGAAAGCGUGGCUAAUACCGCAUACGCCCUACGGGGGAAAGGGGGGGAUCUUAGGACCUCUCACUAUUGGAGCGGCCGAUAUCGGAUUAGCUAGUUGGUGGGGUAAAGGCCUACCAAGGCGACGAUCCGUAGCUGGUUUGAGAGGACGACCAGCCACACUGGGACUGAGACACGGCCCAGACUCCUACGGGAGGCAGCAGUGGGGAAUUUUGGACAAUGGGGGAAACCCUGAUCCAGCCAUCCCGCGUGUGCGAUGAAGGCCUUCGGGUUGUAAAGCACUUUUGUCAGGGAAGAAAAGGUUUCGGAUAAUACCCGGAGCUGAUGACGGUACCUGAAGAAUAAGCACCGGCUAACUACGUGCCAGCAGCCGCGGUAAUACGUAGGGUGCAAGCGUUAAUCGGAAUUACUGGGCGUAAAGCGUGCGCAGGCGGUUCGGAAAGAAAGAUGUGAAAUCCCAGGGCUCAACCUUGGAACUGCAUUUUUAACUACCGAACUAGAGUAUGUCAGAGGGGGGUGGAAUUCCACGUGUAGCAGUGAAAUGCGUAGAUAUGUGGAGGAACACCGAUGGCGAAGGCAGCCCCCUGGGAUAAUACUGACGCUCAUGCACGAAAAGAGCGAA